GGGCGCUUGUCUGGUAGCUUUUCCACCCAACACCCAGGCCUGUGAUGAGCUAAUAUUCUUCGUCUAGGAAGCUCCAUCACUUCUAUUUGAAAGAGACACUUGGGCAGCAGACGCUGUGGCUCUGGGCUUGGGGGUGGGCAGGUCCCUUCCCUCCCUGGGCCUUGAAUCUCCUCUGAAGUGACGCUGUUGCCAGGUGGCCCUCCCCCUCCAGGAAGCCCUCUCCUCGUCUCGGCUGGACCCGGCCUCUCCUGACCCCGCGACCUCGGGCGAACCACAUCACAGCUCCAGGCCUCGGCUUCCCCGUCAGGGAAAGCGGGAGGUCAUGCUUCUGGUCCGGGGCUGCCGGGAAAGAAAACGCACAGCAAUUUCUUUAGGUCAGCACUCUUGGCUGCUGUGACGAGAACUCAAAGUGGCCCAAGGAAUCAGACGGUGACUGCUGGGCCAGGAGCAAGCAGCUUCAGGUGUGGCUGGUUCAAGAAGUUCAGACUCCAUCUUCCAAACCGGCCUCAGCCUUCAUCUCCCACUUUCUCCUCAGUGGAAGUGGCAGCCAGCAGCCGGCCCCUGACACCCUCACAGCCCCAGGCUUCUAAGGGCUGCAUCUCACUGGCCACCUGGGAUGCUGGCCGUGGCAGGGGGUGGGGACACAUGCUCCUGCUGGCCAGGCUGGAUCCAGUGCCCAGGACUCCUUAGAUUGUCCUCGGAAGAGGAAACGACCACACCCCCUCCCUGCACCAGGCCUUCCUGAGAGGGGCUGUCCUGCCUGGGCUGGUGACCUCUGACCCCAGCCCCCUGGAGCACCCCAGGAUAGGGCCCUGGAAUUCACGGCUCACACCCUGGCUCUGAGUGGUCCCUGGUCGGCUGCCCUUGGGACCUGGCCUGUAUCGGCUGGACGGGUCCUCUUCAGCUGUAGCUGUUUUUCUCACCAGCAGAGAGCAAAGUCCAUCAGAGAGUCUUAGCCUAGUUCUGCUGCGAUCUGGGGGCAUCCCUGGGGUGUGGGGAAGGCGUGGCCUGUGGGCAUCUCCACGCCCCCACCUGUGGGGCCUCAGCGGGCAGAAACAUCACAGGCAGGACGGAACCCAGGCCCAAAGCCCGAGAGCCAGUCCUGGGCUCGAGGACAGCUCCACAGCUGCCGUCUGUGCAACCUUUGGCUAGUGGUCCCCCUCUCCGAGCCUCAGUGGCCUCACAGACGGAGGAGGUCACUACAGGCAGAAGUACCUGCCAACCGGAGUUAAGGUGAUGCCUAAGAAGAGGUGGGCACAGACCUAGGGGUGCGGCCGAGGGCAGCAGGUGCUCUGCUGCGGGUAGCGGGGAGGGCGGUUCACGGAGUGGCUUGCAUACAGCAGGGGCUCAGUGAACAGCACGGAGCACCCACCCCAGAGCCCCGACGUUCUUGUGACAUGAGCCUGGGCGGGGCAGCUGCGGGCAGCAUGGCCACUCCUGUUGGGCUAGGGGACAGAGGCAGCCCCUCAGGUCCCUCUGCGCCUGAGACCCAGACAGGAGCCCCUUCCCUUGUCCUCCCUGGAGGCCUGGCCUCCACCUUUGCUGGCAAGGUGCCUGGCUGUGGCAGGCAGGUGCCCUGAGGCGGUGG
This 1588-nucleotide long non-coding RNA is filed under the name Sus scrofa (pig). RNAcentral describes it as "lncRNA (ENSSSCG00025003062.1)". The record is from RNAcentral. Lineage: Eukaryota; Metazoa; Chordata; Mammalia; Artiodactyla; Suidae.